CCUUACAACUUUUUAAU
This 17-nucleotide transfer RNA is filed under the name Cucurbita moschata (crookneck pumpkin). RNAcentral describes it as "partial tRNA-Leu". The record is from RNAcentral. Lineage: Eukaryota; Viridiplantae; Streptophyta; Magnoliopsida; Cucurbitales; Cucurbitaceae.